Molecule: transfer RNA, 78 nt
Filed under: Candidatus Bathyarchaeota archaeon
Lineage: Archaea; Thermoproteati; Candidatus Bathyarchaeota
Also listed under: 2 other names
Description: tRNA-Arg
Rfam family: tRNA
About the family: Transfer RNA (tRNA) molecules are approximately 80 nucleotides in length.
Source: RNAcentral
GGGCGAGUAGCUCAGUACGGAUAGAGCAUCAGCCUUCUAAGCUGAGGGUCAAGGGUUCAAAUCCCUUCCCGCCCGCCA